Molecule: small nuclear RNA, 110 nt
Filed under: Zalophus californianus (California sea lion)
Lineage: Eukaryota; Metazoa; Chordata; Mammalia; Carnivora; Otariidae
Description: U4 spliceosomal RNA (ENSZCAG00015016727.1)
Rfam family: U4 spliceosomal RNA (bases 1-70)
About the family: U4 small nuclear RNA (U4 snRNA) is a component of the major U2-dependent spliceosome. The structure of U4 snRNA from yeast and human has been reported. U4 snRNA presents a k-turn RNA motif in the 5p-SL related to recognition of Snu13 protein.
Source: RNAcentral
AGCUUUGCGCAGUGGCAGUAUCAUAGCCAAUGAGGUUUAUUCGAGGCGCGAUUAUUGCUAAUUGAAAAUGGGUAGAAUAACUAAGUAGACAUUUCUGCAAAGAGGAGAUC